RNAcentral lists this ribosomal RNA (632 nucleotides) under Aspergillus niger. RNAcentral describes it as "LSU rRNA". It matches the Rfam family "Eukaryotic large subunit ribosomal RNA", at positions 1 to 648 of the family's 3401-position model. Lineage: Eukaryota; Fungi; Ascomycota; Eurotiomycetes; Eurotiales; Aspergillaceae. The record is from RNAcentral.
UGACCUCGGAUCAGGUAGGGAUACCCGCUGAACUUAAGCAUAUCAAUAAGCGGAGGAAAAGAAACCAACCGGGAUUGCCUCAGUAACGGCGAGUGAAGCGGCAAGAGCUCAAAUUUGAAAGCUGGCUCCUUCGGAGUCCGCAUUGUAAUUUGCAGAGGAUGCUUUGGGUGCGGCCCCCGUCUAAGUGCCCUGGAACGGGCCGUCAGAGAGGGUGAGAAUCCCGUCUUGGGCGGGGUGUCCGUGCCCGUGUAAAGCUCCUUCGACGAGUCGAGUUGUUUGGGAAUGCAGCUCUAAAUGGGUGGUAAAUUUCAUCUAAAGCUAAAUACUGGCCGGAGACCGAUAGCGCACAAGUAGAGUGAUCGAAAGAUGAAAAGCACUUUGAAAAGAGAGUUAAACAGCACGUGAAAUUGUUGAAAGGGAAGCGCUUGCGACCAGACUCGCCCGCGGGGUUCAGCCGGCAUUCGUGCCGGUGUACUUCCCCGUGGGCGGGCCAGCGUCGGUUUGGGCGGCCGGUCAAAGGCCCCUGGAAUGUAGUGCCCUCCGGGGCACCUUAUAGCCAGGGGUGCAAUGCGGCCAGCCUGGACCGAGGAACGCGCUUCGGCACGGACGCUGGCAUAAUGGUCGUAAACGAC